GAUGAACGCUGGCGGCGUGCCUAAUACAUGCAAGUCGAGCGAACGGACGAGAAGCUUGCUUCUCUGAUGUUAGCGGCGGACGGGUGAGUAACACGUGGAUAACCUACCUAUAAGACUGGGAUAACUUCGGGAAACCGGAGCUAAUACCGGAUAAUAUUUUGAACGGCAUGGUUCAAAAGUGAAAGACGGUCUUGCUGUCACUUAUAGAUGGAUCCGCGCUGCAUUAGCUAGUUGGUAAGGUAACGGCUUACCAAGGCAACGAUGCAUAGCCGACCUGAGAGGGUGAUCGGCCACACUGGAACUGAGACACGGUCCAGACUCCUACGGGAGGCAGCAGUAGGGAAUCUUCCGCAAUGGGCGAAAGCCUGACGGAGCAACGCCGCGUGAGUGAUGAAGGUCUUCGGAUCGUAAAACUCUGUUAUUAGGGAAGAACAUAUGUGUAAGUAACUGUGCGCAUCUUGACGGUACCUAAUCAGAAAGCCACGGCUAACUACGUG
RNAcentral lists this ribosomal RNA (497 nucleotides) under uncultured bacterium. RNAcentral's name for it is "partial 16S ribosomal RNA". It matches the Rfam family "Bacterial small subunit ribosomal RNA", at positions 28 to 507 of the family's 1533-position model. The record is from RNAcentral.